GAUGAACGCUGGCGGCGUGCCUAAUACAUGCAAGUCGAGCGAACAGAUGAGGAGCUUGCUCCUCUGACGUUAGCGGCGGACGGGUGAGUAACACGUGGAUAACCUACCUAUAAGACUGGGAUAACUUCGGGAAACCGGAGCUAAUACCGGAUAAUAUAUUGAACCGCAUGGUUCAAUAGUGAAAGACGGUUUUGCUGUCACUUAUAGAUGGAUCCGCGCCGCAUUAGCUAGUUGGUAAGGUAACGGCUUACCAAGGCAACGAUGCGUAGCCGACCUGAGAGGGUGAUCGGCUACACUGGAACUGAGACACGGUCCAGACUCCUACGGGAGGCAGCAGUAGGGAAUCUUCCGCAAUGGGCGAAAGCCUGACGGAGCAACGCCGCGUGAGUGAUGAAGGUCUUCGGAUCGUAAAACUCUGUUAUUGGGGAAGAACAAAUGUGUAAGUAACUAUGCACGUCUUGACGGUACCUAAUCAGAAAGCCACGGCUAACUACGUG
Molecule: ribosomal RNA, 497 nt
Filed under: uncultured bacterium
Lineage: Bacteria
Description: partial 16S ribosomal RNA
Rfam family: Bacterial small subunit ribosomal RNA
Source: RNAcentral